UCUCUCUAAAACAAAAUCUUUAAAAAAUUUUUGAUAGCCACAUACAAAAAAAUAGGUGAAACUAACUUAAGUAAUACAUUUUUAAAGCCAGUAUGUCUAAGAUAGUGUUAUUUCCACAUUUAAUCAAUAUUUCAAAAUAUGAACAAGAUAUUUGAUAUUCUGUUUUAUACCCAGUCUUUACAACCCAGUAUAUGUUUUAUACUUACCGCUGCUGCCAUUUUGGUCGGCCCAGGUAUAGAGGGUCCGUCUCCCACCCCCACAUCAAUGUCAGAUGGUCUUUUACCCAACCGCAAAGUGCAAUUUUAAGUCUCUCAAAAGAUUCAGAAUGGUGAACGUGAUGUGUGUUACUGCUGGGCUUACUCAGGAGACUUUGGCCAGUGAAGGUGUGGAGGAGUUAAGCCAGACAACAACAUAGAAAGUGGACAUGGUGGCAUGCUGGACUGAAUCAUGCUCCCCUCUCAAGGUCAUGAGAUCAAGCGCCACAGUGGGCUCUGUGCUCAGCAGGGAGUCUGCUUAAGAUUCAUAUGUGGAAGCCCUAACCCCCAAGACCUCAGAAUGUGACUUCAUUUGGGGAUAGAGUCUCCAAAGAGGUGAUUGAGUUGAAAAGAAGCCAUUAGGGUGGGCCCUGAUCCAGUACGACGUGUCCUUGUAACAAAAGGAAAUGCCGACCCAAGCACCACAUCUAUGAGCCAGGGAGAGAGGCCUCAGUAGAACCCAACCAGCCAGUACCUUGCUCUUGGACUUCCAGAAAAUAAAUUCCUGUGGUGCAACCCACCAAGUCCGUGGUACUUUGGUAGCUGCAGCCCUAGCAAGCUAAUGUGGGCGAGUUGGCUGUGGGCAUCAGAAGACCAUGAUUUGACCAUGAAAAGAUUACAAGUGGCCUUUGGGACAACUGAGAAUUUGUUCUACUGUCCUCCUACUCUUGCGUCUAGCUGGAUUCUAUCAGUGAGUGACCCCUGGUGUUUGGGGGCCUCUGAUGGAUGAGACUCGGGGAAAGGAGAGGAACGGGGGUGGGUGGGUAAGAGUUGUUCAAAUCCCUAUCCCUUACCCUCUGUGAUGGGCCACCACGCCUCGUUCCCUGGUUUCCUGGCAAGUGGCACUUAAUCCCACCAAGGUUUCUGAUCAAAGGCCUGCUCCAGAUAAGCUACAAAAUAACAUUUGGGCAUUUCUCUGGUAGAGAAAGCAUGACCUAGAAUCCCUGGCAAGCAAAUGUACAUUCCUGCGUGGCCUCUCCAGCUCUGCUCACAGACCCGCCUGCCACAGAGGAGAGACCACGUCUGUUGGACUUGUGCAAGGCACAGCCCAGCAAAGCCAGUCUCACCGUUGGGACCGCCAAGAGCAGCUCCACCAGAGAAGUCAGCGGUAAAAGCUUUCAAUUUGCUUUCUGUAUUUCUGGGUUACAAAAUGUCUCCUAAUCUUGGUCGUUGGACCUAUCGAGAAAGGAGAGACCAGUUCAGAUGUGGGGAUAAAAUAAAAGUUCGCAUGUCCCGUGUGUGGCCAACUGGGUCCCGUGACCGGGACCCUGGCUGGCUGGGGCUGGCUCUGCCAUCGACUUCGUGGGCGCACCGCCGUCACCAUCGGCAUGGGGAUGACCGUCCUGCCCUCGCCCUGGGCUGUGGGGAGGACUGUGUGAGCUGCCAGGCAGACAGCAUUCUGAACUCCGUGCCUCGUGUGGACAAUGCCCCCAGCGGAGAAGGCAUGCCACCCCAAUUUUACAGACUACAGCUGAGUGCUGAGAACAAGCCCCAGAAGGGACAUCGAUGGAAAGCAGGGCCCCCACCCACCCGGGAGUGAGCCCUCCCUUCAUGGGGCAGACGGACAAAGAUCAGCUAAUACGUAGGGGUGAACCACGAGAAGAUGAAGGCGGAGAUCCGGGGGACACAUCUACAAGGCCGGGAGCUCCAGGGAUGGCCAGCAACCACCAGACGGCAGGGAAGGGCCCGGGACGGACAUGAACCAGCCUGCCCACACUUGAUCUCGGACCUGUGUUCUCCAGAAUUGGAUUUGGUGGAGAGCACAGAUUGGCAACAAAACCUGACCCCAGGAUGCGGCGGAGUGUUGCGUAACUGUUAAAAAGGAUUUAAGAUUUGUUUCCAAAUCUGUCUGUGGGCUCGGUACAGUCCCUCUCAGAAUCCAGGCAGGCUUUUCUACACAGAUUGACAGGCCCCGUCUCAACAUUUAUACGGAAAUACAGAGGACCUAGAAUGACCAAAGCGACUUUGGAAAAGAAGAACCAAAUGGGAAGAACUUCUACCCAACUUUGGAAUUUAUCAUAAGAGCUCUUUUGACCAAGAGAAUGGAGCAGGAGUGACACUGGGUAGCUUUGAACAUGGAGCCUCCACCUUUGCCUCGGGGGUGCUUGCUCCGGAGGGGCCGGCAGCCACCACAGCCCCCUUGGGGAACCCCAGGCCACGUGAGACAGAUGGGGACACAGAGGCCCAGAGAAGAUGAGCAGCUUGUCCCAGGUCACCCAGCUGGCCAGUGGAAGAGCCAGGAUUCAGACCCAGGCAGCCUCACUCCAGGGUGUGCACUUGUCUCCCUGACGGCAGGAGAAUAUCUCCUCACACCUGAAGUCGCUAGGAGGAGAAACGCCAGCCAGGAACAUUUUCUGGAGAGAUCUGAGCCAGGAGGAAGUCCAGAGAUCCUGAGAUCACCAUGCUGGAAAGGCCAUGAAGAGAGAGAGGGAGGACCCCCAGCUGCAAGGUCAGGACCAGAGUGAGGUCUAGACACUAAGCCUCUAGUGCAAAAUUUAAGGAGAUGCAAACAACAGAACAAAAGGAAAAGACCUUUUGGCAAUCAAGUGAAUCAGUGUCUCAGUAUGUCACUGCUGAGAUUAGGUUAUGGAAGCUAUGAGAAGAUAGAGUUCCCAUCUUGUUCACACUCUUUUCUGGGAUCACUCAUCCUGGGGAAAGCUGGCUGCCAUAGUCUGAGGACACUCAACCCAAUGGAAAAGAACAGGGAGCAAGGAACCAAGGCCUCCUGUCAAUAGCCAGCCUUGGGUGUGAAGUGGUUGAUCCCUACAAAGAAGAGAAGAGGGUUUCCUCUGGAGAGAGUUGGCAUGCAGUGUGUUCAUCACCCCCCCCAACCAUGGGUCAAGUGAGAGAAGAUUCUGGAAACCCUCUUGGAGAACUGGCUGUGGAGGCCGGGAAGUCAAAGAUCAAGGCUCUGGCAGAUUCAGUGUCUGGUGGAGUCAGUUGAGGAUCGCAAGAUGAAAUUCUGAUGUAGUGCUGGUUCAAAGUCCAAUAACUGGUGUCUUUAGAGGAGAGGAGAGGACACACACCCAGAGAAGAAGGCCAUAUAAUGAUAGAGGCAGAGAUUUCCGUGAUGAGUUUGUAGACCAAGGAUCGCCAAGGAUUGCCAAGACCACCAGGAGCCUGGAGAGCAUGGAGCAGAUUGCCCACCACAGCCUCCAGAAAGACCCAACCCAGCCAAUGCCCUGAUCUCGGGCUUCCAGCCUCCAGAACCCCGACGGAACAAGUCUCUGUUGUUUCCACCACUCGGAAACUGUCUAGUUGGUUGUAACAGACCCAGGAAUCUGACUCAGUGACCAAAAUGAGAUUUUGAAGAUUACUGUCAUUUGAGAAUGAUCGUAAAAGCUGUCAUCCUCACCAACAUUUUAUGCACUUGGAAGAUGGCAGCUGUGAAAGAUAAUGAAGACGCUCUAUCUCAUGGUGCUCCCUGAGCUUCGUUCCAGCGGCAGAGUGAUUACAACAUACAGAUGAACACAAUUACCACAUACCUGCGCUAUUUAUGUAUUUAUUAUAUAUAGAUACUACAAAUGUUAAAAUACUAUACUGCUAUAUAGUACAGUAUAUCUGUACUAUAUUAUAUUUAUUAAUAUUUGUACGAUAUAAGUGUUAUUACAUCUGCACUAUAUACAUUUUCAAUUGUGGCUGCACUGCAUAUAAUUACAUCUGCAUUAACAUAUAUAUGAAUACACAUGCACUAUAUUGUCACAUCUGCACUGUAUAUGUUAUUACAACUCGCCUAUAUUGCAUCUGGACUGUAUAUAUUACUACAUCUGCACUAUACAUACACAAUGGCAUUUGCAGCGUGUAUAUUUAUAUAUAUAAACACAAUUAUAUCCACAAUAUGUAUUAUUAUAUAUGUACUUUAUAUUAUUACACCUGCACUAUAUAUAUUAUUACAUUGUAUAUAUACACACACACACACACACACACACACAUAUCUGUACUAUAUAUGAUGGUUCCUGGGUGCUUUACCAGGCUGUCCUACUAGGGAGAUGUUAUGAUCAAUGUCCUGUGGCACAAACAAUACAAAUGAGGUGUCAAAAGAGCAAGCCCCUCACCCACUGUUUCAGGCACCUCAGCCAAAGCCAGGCGCCGAGGCAAGGAGCACCUAUGUCCUGACUUUCUGGGCGGGGGUGUGUGUUCCUUUAUGAAAAGGCUUGGCUGAGUCAAUGCAUCUUCCUCUUCCCCAUGCACACUCUAGCACAACAUACCUUUGUUUUUAUUCAUGUUUAUUUGAGAAUCCGUAACAUUCUCUUCACGAGUCAUUGGGCUUUUAGCCUUUUGAGAUCUGGAGAGACCAUUCUUCAUUGUACUGCAAGGCACAAAGCAGGGGACUUAGCGGGGCUGGCAAAGAGGCUGCAAGUCUAAGCCAACUUCCAUCCACUGGCCAUGUCUGCCUAGAAUCCUGGGAUCCAUUAGUCAUGCCUGCCCUGGACCUAGGAGGGGAUGAGAGUGGUCUGUGUGCCAGAGAUCACAGAGCAAUUUUAAGUCCAGAGGGCCUUCAAUCUGUGAGUUUCCAGAAGAGUCUCUUAAAUGGUUGGAGUAUAGAGACCAAGUCUAUAUGUGGUCCUGUGGGUGAGACAACAUUUUGAAUUCUCCCAAGGGAAAAAGAAACCCACAGGAGAUUUCUGUUCUUGUUGGUUGCCCUAAAGAUAGUACGACGUGAAAACCCAAAGGAUCUAAAGGAAAAACAGAAAAUCUUGCUUCAUAGGAAGUUUUUGAUUUUCCACAUGGCAAAAGAAUGCCAUAAACAAUCAAGCGAUCAACAAACUGAGAAAAAAAAUAUGGAUCACAUGCCUAAUUAAGGCUUGAUUUCUUUUAUAUAUAAAGAAUUCCAAUGAACCAAUAAAAAAGUCCAGUACCCCAAGGGGCAUAAAUAGAAAGUUCCCUGAAAAACACAUUUAAAAUGACUUUCUCGGUCAUGAGAGAAUGCAUAGAAAAUAUUAUGAUGUAUUUCACCUGUCAGGUUGACUAAGCUAAAAAACAAAAUUGAAAAAUAUAUUAGCGAGGAUGUGAGGGACAGACACUCUCAUCCAUUGUAAGACUGAGGCAGCCCUUGGAAGGCGGUGGCCAGACCACACGGUCGCUGAGCCAUCCUUGGAGGACAGUGCAGUCUGGCUGCUGGGAUCCUUGCAUGCCCAUUAACUGGGCUCUGUUGUUUGAAACCUUCUGUGUAUGAUGGGGUCAACCACCACUCUUUAACCUGGUCUGCUUUUCAGUGGGUUAAUCUUUAAAUAUAUUAAGCAACAUUCUUUUGAACAUUUACUUAACAAAAAAUUGAUAUUUUUCUAGAUGAAGUUAUGUUCCCCAAAAUUCAUAUACUGAAGCCCUAACCCCCAGUCUGCUUAUAUUUGGAGACGGAACCUUUAGGGAGGUGAUUCAGGUUAGAGGAAGUGAUAAUAGUGGGGCCCGGAUCCAGUAGGAUUGGUAUCUUUCUAAGAGGAAAGGAAACCAAAUCCUGUUCUCGCCCCUCCUUGUGGGGACACAGCAAGGAGGCAGCUGUUUGCAAGCAAUGAAGAGGGCUGUCACCAGAAACCAGCCCUGCUGACACCUUGACUUUGGACUUCCAGCCUCCAGAACUGAGAGAAAAUAAAUUUCUGAUAAGCCACCCAUUCUGCAGUAUUUUUUUAUGGAAGUCACAGUGAAUUCUACAGUUGCAUAAAUAUUUAGAAGAUACUAUUAAAUGUCAUUUAAUGAACUGAGGAAUUUAACGGACCAAAAUUGCCGAAAACAUUUGAACAUUUGGCCACAUGUUUCAUUAAUGAAAUUCCCCUAAGCAUGUAAUUAAAAUCACAACCCCAGUGUGUAAUUUUGUUCCAACCAAAGAUGUCCACAGACAUCCAGACAUCAUCAGCAGUCCCCUUGGAGGCCAGGAUUGCUGGCUGACAUUGUUUGAAAACAACGUGUCUGCGUUUUCCGUGAAGGGAGAUUGUAUUAUCUUGCUCAUGACAAGCAUUAUGCUUGAUACAAGAAUCAAGCAGUCCUAAAUUCUAGAUUUGCAGGUAAUUGUUCUCCAAGAAUCAGGGAUGCAGCAGACGAGAACCUGACAAUUCACAGACUGGCUGAUGUAGCUCUAUAAGCUGUGCACGGUUCUGCGCUAGCCGACUCCAGCUUUGUAGUUCAAUGAAAACGAGUAGCUAGAAAGGCACAUUGUGAUAUGAACCCAAAUGAGUCCCCGUGACAUUCAUACACACGGAGGAGAUCAAUCAGUGGGAUGAAGCGAAUAGCCAAGCACAGCCAAUCUGAAUGAAGCUAUGAACACGCCUGUAAAGACAUUCAUGAAGUGUGCUGCAGAAGCAGCAGCCAGGAAGUCCAAGGUCUUCCUGGAGCAACUGGAUCUGGCUCAGAACCUUGGUGUCACCCUUAAUCCACCCUUUCCCCUCCACUGCUCCCUCCUUCCCUCUCUUCUUCUAUCCCUCUCUCUCUCUACCUUCCUUUAUCCUAUCACCCUUCCACCCACCCACCCAUCCAUCUUUCCAUCCUU
Canis lupus familiaris (dog) is the source of this 6735-nucleotide long non-coding RNA. RefSeq lists it as uncharacterized. The transcript has 11 exons. The record is from RefSeq and is a predicted model, not a curated record. NCBI's taxonomy places the organism in Eukaryota, Metazoa, Chordata, Mammalia, Carnivora, Canidae.